CGGAUGCUCCACCGCAACAUCGCCGCAUGGAGUCUUCGUCUCCCCUGCGUCACCGUCACCUGACUUGGAACUUGCCAUUUUCUUAACGGAAACGAUGCGUAAACAACAAACUACCGCUAAGAGAAACAUGAGAUGAUAACGAGUGCCAUGGUCAGGUGGCUAGUAAGGUAUUAAAGAGUGGACCGAAAGGUUUUAAGGAACCCCACAAAGAUACAACACUCAUCUCCAAGGGAGAGUGGACCGAAAGUUUUGUCACUUUCGUCUCACUAUUUUUGCAAAUGGGAAUUAAGUAUAUACUUUGGCUUCCUUAUCUCAUACAUUAUCUCACUGUUUUAUUCUCAGCUUAGGAGUAUUAUUAUCUAGCCUAAAACAAAAGAAAGUCGUCGGAUAUAACAUCUCGGAUACUUGUAGGGGGAGGAAAAAUCUUUGGAGCUUCUUGGGGCUAUCCAAUUUGUUACCUCAACUUCACUCUAUGCAGUGCCAUGUAGGCUAUGAGACGAUAACCCACCAG
Eutrema salsugineum is the source of this 511-nucleotide long non-coding RNA. RefSeq lists it as uncharacterized. The transcript is spliced from 4 exons. Lineage: Eukaryota; Viridiplantae; Streptophyta; Magnoliopsida; Brassicales; Brassicaceae. The record is from RefSeq and is a predicted model, not a curated record.